This 58-nucleotide transfer RNA is filed under the name Salmo salar (Atlantic salmon). It matches the Rfam family "tRNA", at positions 8 to 63 of the family's 71-position model. From Rfam's summary of the family: Transfer RNA (tRNA) molecules are approximately 80 nucleotides in length. Their secondary structure includes four short double-helical elements and three loops (D, anti-codon, and T loops). Further hydrogen bonds mediate the characteristic L-shaped molecular structure. tRNAs have two regions of fundamental functional importance: the anti-codon, which is responsible for specific mRNA codon recognition, and the 3' end, to which the tRNAs corresponding amino acid is attached (by aminoacyl-tRNA synthetases). tRNAs cope with the degeneracy of the genetic code in two manners: having more than one tRNA (with a specific anti-codon) for a particular amino acid; and 'wobble' base-pairing, i.e. permitting non-standard base-pairing at the 3rd anti-codon position. The record is from Rfam by way of RNAcentral. Lineage: Eukaryota; Metazoa; Chordata; Actinopteri; Salmoniformes; Salmonidae. RNAcentral also lists the same sequence under 1 other name.
UGGCUCAGUUGGUAGAGCAGAACACUUGUAAUGCCCAAGUUUUGGGUUCAAUUCCCAC